This is a long non-coding RNA of Myotis davidii, 262 nucleotides long. RefSeq lists it as uncharacterized. The transcript is spliced from 2 exons. NCBI's taxonomy places the organism in Eukaryota, Metazoa, Chordata, Mammalia, Chiroptera, Vespertilionidae. The record is from RefSeq and is a predicted model, not a curated record.
UUCUUAUUCAGUGGAAAACCCAUCCAAGUAUUAUGCAUAAGAUAGACUCUCCCUACAUAACCAAAGAGGCAAACCUAUGUCUUGGGUCUUGUCCCCAUAUGAAGAUGAAGGCCAGAAUGAAGGUCAUUUUAGUUGGUGACUCCGGGUCUUACUUUGAUGUACUGGUAACCAGACUCUCUAUAGAAAGAAGUCUUGAUUUGUAGAGUUUGCCAAAUUCACUGUGUAAAUACUCCCACCAUAAAUAAAUGCAAAAAUGGUUUAA